AGCUAGUUGGUGAGGUAACGGCCCACCAAGGCGACGAUCGGUAGCCGGACUGAGAGGUUGAACGGCCACAUUGGGACUGAGACACGGCCCAGACUCCUACGGGAGGCAGCAGUGGGGAAUAUUGCACAAUGGGGGAAACCCUGAUGCAGCGACGCCGCGUGGAGGAAGAAGGUCUUCGGAUUGUAAACUCCUGUUGUUGGGGAAGAUAAUGACGGUACCCAACAAGGAAGUGACGGCUAACUACGUGCCAGCAGCCGCGGUAAAACGUAGGUCACAAGCGUUGUCCGGAAUUACUGGGUGUAAAGGGAGCGCAGGCGGGAAGACAAGUUGGAAGUGAAAUCCAUGGGCUCAACCCAUGAACUGCUUUCAAAACUGUUUUUCUUGAGUAGUGCAGAGGUAGGCGGAAUUCCCGGUGUAGCGGUGGAAUGCGUAGAUAUCGGGAGGAACACCGGUGGCGAAGGCGGCCUACUGGGCACCAACUGACGCUGAGGCUCGAAAGUGUGGGUAGCAAACAGGAUUAGAUACCCUGGUAGUCCACACCGUAAACGAUGAUUACUUGGUGUUGGAGGAUUGACCCCUUCAGUGCCGCAGUUAACACAAUAAGUAAUCCACCUGGGGAGUACGACCGCAAGGUUGAAACUCAAAGGAAUUGACGGGGGCCCGCACAAGCAGUGGAGUAUGUGGUUUAAUUCGACGCAACGCGAAGAACCUUACCAAGUCUUGACAUCCGUUGACCGCUGUAGAAAUACAGUUUUCCUUCGGGACAGCGAGACAGGUGGUGCAUGGUUGUCGUCAGCUCGUGUCGUGAGAUGUUGGGUUAAGUCCCGCAACGAGCGCAACCCUUAUGGUCAGUUACUACGCAAGAGGACUCUGGCCAGACUGCCGUUGACAAAACGGAGGAAGGUGGGGAUGACGUCAAAUCAUCAUGCCCUUUAUGACUUGGGCUACACACGUACUACAAUGGCGUUAAACAAAGAGAAGCAAGACCGCGAGGUGGAGCAAAACUCAGAAACAACGUCCCAGUUCGGACUGCAGGCUGCAACUCGCCUGCACGAAGUCGGAAUUGCUAGUAAUCGUGGAUCAGCAUGCCACGGUGAAUACGUUCCCGGGCCUUGUACACACCGCCCGUCACACCAUGAGAGCCGGGGGGACCCGAAGUCGGUAGUCUAACCGCAAGGAGGACGCCGCCGAAGGUAAAACUGGUGAUUGGGGUGAAGUCGUAACAAGGUAGCCGUAGGAGAACCUGCGGCUG
Molecule: ribosomal RNA, 1252 nt
Filed under: metagenome
Description: bacterial SSU rRNA
Rfam family: Bacterial small subunit ribosomal RNA
Source: RNAcentral